Molecule: ribosomal RNA, 464 nt
Filed under: uncultured bacterium
Lineage: Bacteria
Description: partial 16S ribosomal RNA
Rfam family: Bacterial small subunit ribosomal RNA
Source: RNAcentral
GACGAACGCUGGCGGCGUGCUUAACACAUGCAAGUCGAACGGAAAGGCCCAGCUUGCUGGGUGCUCGAGUGGCGAACGGGUGAGUAACACGUGGGUGAUCUGCCCCUAACUUCGGGAUAAGCUUGGGAAACUGGGUCUAAUACCGGAUAGGACAAUCGUUUAGUGUCGGUGGUGGAAAGUUUUUUCGGUUAGGGAUGAGCCCGCGGCCUAUCAGCUUGUUGGUGGGGUAAUGGCCUACCAAGGCGUCGACGGGUAGCCGGCCUGAGAGGGUGGACGGCCACAUUGGGACUGAGAUACGGACCAGACUCCUACGGGAGGCAGCAGGGGGGAAUAUUGCACAAUGGGCGCAAGCCUGAUGCAGCGACGCCGCGUGGGGGAUGACGGCCUUCGGGUUGUAAACAUCUUUCGACAGGGACGAAGCUUUGGUGACGGUACCUGUAUAAGAAGCACCGGCUAACUACGUG